GACGAACCGAGCGAACGUUGUUCGGAAUCACUGGGCUUAAAGGGCGCGUAGGCGGGUUGCCGCGUCCGGGGUGAAAUCCCACGGCUCAACCGUGGGACGGCCCCGGAUACGGGCGGCCUGGAGGGGGGUAGGGGCGGGCGGAACUCUGCGUGGAGCGGUGAAAUGCGUUGAUAUGCAGAGGAACUCCGGUGGCGAAGGCGGCCCGCUGGACCCCAUCUGACGCUGAGGCGCGAAAGCCAGGGGAGCGAACGGG
This 253-nucleotide ribosomal RNA is filed under the name uncultured bacterium. RNAcentral's name for it is "partial 16S ribosomal RNA". It matches the Rfam family "Bacterial small subunit ribosomal RNA", at positions 524 to 776 of the family's 1533-position model. The record is from RNAcentral.